Molecule: ribosomal RNA, 531 nt
Filed under: uncultured fungus
Lineage: Eukaryota; Fungi
Description: SSU rRNA
Rfam family: Eukaryotic small subunit ribosomal RNA
Source: RNAcentral
CAUUCAAAUAUCUGCCUAUCAACUUUCGAUGGUAGGAUAGAGGCCUACCAUGGGUUCAACGGGUAACGGGGAAUAAGGGUUCGAUUCCGGAGAGGGAGCCUGAGAAACGGCUACCACAUCCAAGGAAGGCAGCAGGCGCGCAAAUUACCCAAUCCCGACACGGGGAGGUAGUGACAAUAAAUAACAAUAUAGGGCUCUAUUGGGUCUUAUAAUUGGAGAUGAGUACAAUUUAAACCCCUUAACGAGGAACAAUUGGAGGGCAAGUCUGGUGCCAGCAGCCGCGGUAAUUCCAGCUCCAAUAGCGUAUAUUAAAGUUGUUGCAGUUAAAAAGCUCGUAGUUGAAGUUCGAACCUGGUUGGGUGGUCUGCCUUCACGGUACGUACUGCUCGGCCGGGUUCUACCUCUUGGUGAGCCGGCAUGCCCUUCACUGGGUGUGUCGGGGAACCAGGACUUUACCUUGAGAAAAUUAGAGUGUUCAAAGCAGGCUUUACGCCGGAUACAUUAGCAUGGGAAUAUACAAUAGGACGUGCG